Spinacia oleracea (spinach) is the source of this 1040-nucleotide long non-coding RNA. RefSeq lists it as uncharacterized. Lineage: Eukaryota; Viridiplantae; Streptophyta; Magnoliopsida; Caryophyllales; Amaranthaceae. The record is from RefSeq and is a predicted model, not a curated record. The transcript is spliced from 2 exons.
UUCAAAAAUUGGACAGGUUUCCACCCUUGCCUUGUUGUCAAUUUUUAGUCCACUUCCUUUCAUUUUUAGGAGGAGGGUCACAGAAACUUGGGGGACUCCUCUUCUCUUCCUCACUCACGCAUAUCUCUCUUCAUCCUUGACCUCCUCCUUGUCUUUCUCCCUUGCGCCACCGCAUCACCGUCCCCUUCUCUCACCCCCCGUCCUCCUUGGUGUUACCCUGUGGCUGCAAUUAUUGUUAUUAUUGUUGUUGUCAUGGUUGAUGCUGCUCUCUUCCUCUCCUCUGUGUUGUCGGCUCUGCGUAACCUCGCCGCCGGCGACGGUGGCCUGUAGUUGCCACCGUUUAUACUCCAUCACCUAGUGGGUAAUUUCUAAAAUCUCUUUCUAUUCAUUGGUUUAAUUGAGUUAGAUCAAAAUCCCCAAAAUUUCAGACCCUAACUUCAUCUUCUCUUAUUUUCUUACUGAUCCCCGACGAGAGGCCCAUUCUAUUACCCCUUGGAGCUCGUCGCGGCCUCAAUGGCUGCCGGAGUUAUUGGAAUCGUUCUUGAUUGAUUGAUUGGUCUCAAGUCAAGUCAUGAGCUUUCGGUUUAACAUAAGAAUAGCAGAACGAGUUCGAGGAUAGAGCAUCCAAAAUUGUGCUAAGUGUUUACUCAAGGGGCUCCCGGGUCACGUAAAAGCUAGAGUUGGGGGGUGUGCACACAAGUUAUUGAAUUAGUUGGCCAACGAAGAAUGAAUGUACUGUCAGCGGCUUCCGGGUACAUCUCAAAUAGACUGUCAGGGGCUCCCGGGUCUAUCUAUUGUUCAGUAGAUUGUCAGGGGCUCCCGGAUCUACUUAGAAUGGAGAAUUCAAGGAAUUAGGAAUAUAUGAGAUAGUGUUUAUACGAUUAGAGAAGAACUCAAAUAGAAAAUCAUUAGAAAUCCUCAAAUACUCAUUUUGUUUUAUAUUUUAUUAUUCAAAAUUAUUUGAAAACGAUGUCUAGAACUUUUGUAUACUAUUUAACUUGUUUAUGCUUCUAUGAUUUCAUUAAUAUUUAUUUUACUGA